GUCAGAGGCACUGUCUUCCCCUAGCUAUGCGCCUCGUGCCUGGGAGCCUUAGGGCCACACGGAAGGGUAGAAAUCAGUUUCAGGUCAGGAGGUCUGGAACAGCUUUGUUAAACCCAGUUUUUUUCCUAUGAAAAUGGCUGCAGACACUGGGGGAGGGAGAGGGUGGCCCUGAUCCCGAUGACUCUGAAACAUGCUUGGCCUUCCCCAGAGAUUCCUGCUCCCAGCCCAGGCCCAGACGGCAACAGAAGCUCAUGGAAUGGCAGACUCUGGACAUGCUCCUAGAGAUGGGAGGUCAAAAUGAUCAACGUUCAGGGUCCCUUCAUCUCAGAGGGUCUCGAGUCACCUCAUUUAAAGUGUGGCCUGGGACACCUCCUAUCCAGCCAUACGCCGCCCAGGACUGGCUCAACAGCUCCACCCUCCACUGCUGUUCACCCAUGACACGUCACUUCCCACCCGCCACUGCUGGCUCACCUGUGACACCCCAGGCAGCUCAGAUGCCCGGCAGGUCCUGCUGGUGUGUGUUAGCCGGGGUCUCCAAAGAACCAGAGCCAGCAGGGGACACACCCAUCUCUGUAUCUGGAGAAAAAGAUCGAUGAGAAGGAAUCUGCUCCUGUGAUGAUGGAGGCUGACAAGUCCCGAGAGCCACGGUUGGCACCCUGGAGACCCCUGAGGGUGAUACCACCACUCCAGGCUGAAAGCUGGCAGGCUUGAGACCCUGGGAGAGCUGGCCCUCUGACUCCUGGGACUUCUUAUUCUAUCCUAGUAUUUCCUCAGCUGAGUGCAUGGGGCCAGACCACACUGGGGAGGGCAGUCAGCGUCACUCAGAGCACCGGGUCAUCUCAUGCAGAAACACCCUCAAAGAAAUAGCCCAAAUUAUGCUGACCAAAUAUCUGGGCACCCCGUGCCCCAGACAAGUUGACACAGAAAAUUAACCAUCACAGGUUAACUCCAUCCAGGAGUGGAAUUGCUGGGUCAUAGAGAAGGCAUAGGAAUUCACAGAAAUCACCAAACGGUUUUCAGGCGGUUGUGCCAUGUUAAACUCCCACUGGAAAGAGAGGAGAGCUGUGAUUGUUCCACGUCCUCAGCAACGUUUAGAAUAGGCAGUCUUUGGCCGGGCCGGGCACAGAGGCUCAAACCUGUAACCCCAGCACUUUGGGAGGCCAUAGUGGGUGGAUUACCUGAGAUCAAGAGUUCAAGACCAGCCUGGCCAACAUGGUUAAACCCCGUCUCUAUUAAAAAUGCAAAAAUUA
Homo sapiens (human) is the source of this 1250-nucleotide long non-coding RNA. RefSeq annotates it as long independently transcribed non-coding RNA 3048. The transcript is spliced from 4 exons. The record is from RefSeq and is marked validated. Lineage: Eukaryota; Metazoa; Chordata; Mammalia; Primates; Hominidae.